GCAGGGAAAGCAGCCCUGGGAAUACACGUUAUGGCAAGCUUGCAAAAUAUACCAGAUCCAACUUUAACAUGAGACCAAGCUGAUGCAUUGAACAGAAAUACAAUAAUGAUGUCCUAAAAAGGCUCCACCAUAUUAUAUAAGCAAAUGUACAAUUGGCAAGCAAAGUUGUGUCAAACUCAAGACAGUUUUACUGGUGGAAAACAUUCAUGCAUUAAUUUUCUUUUAUGUCAAGCAUAUAAGAAAAUGAAAAUGGAGUUCUGAAAGUAGGAUGUGCACAUGAUAAAUAAAAAAUUUUAG
RNAcentral lists this unclassified non-coding RNA (297 nucleotides) under Hevea brasiliensis (rubber tree). The record is from RNAcentral. Lineage: Eukaryota; Viridiplantae; Streptophyta; Magnoliopsida; Malpighiales; Euphorbiaceae.